AACGAACGCUGGCGGCAUGCCUAACACAUGCAAGUCGAACGAGACCUUCGGGUCUAGUGGCGCACGGGUGCGUAACGCGUGGGAACCUGCCUUUAGGUUCGGAAUAACUCAGAGAAAUUUGAGCUAAUACCGGAUAAUGUCUUCGGACCAAAGAUUUAUCGCCUUUAGAUGGGCCCGCGUUGGAUUAGCUAGUUGGUGGGGUAAAGGCCUACCAAGGCGACGAUCCAUAGCUGGUCUGAGAGGAUGAUCAGCCACACUGGGACUGAGACACGGCCCAGACUCCUACGGGAGGCAGCAGUGGGGAAUAUUGGACAAUGGGCGAAAGCCUGAUCCAGCAAUGCCGCGUGAGUGAUGAAGCCUUAGGGUUGUAAAGCUCUUUACCCGAGAUGAUAAUGACAGUAUCGGAGAAUAAGCUCCGGCUAACUCCGUGCCAGCAGCCGCGGUAAUGUGUGACUGU
Molecule: ribosomal RNA, 457 nt
Filed under: uncultured bacterium
Lineage: Bacteria
Description: bacterial SSU rRNA
Rfam family: Bacterial small subunit ribosomal RNA
Source: RNAcentral